Molecule: transfer RNA, 67 nt
Filed under: Marmota monax (woodchuck)
Lineage: Eukaryota; Metazoa; Chordata; Mammalia; Rodentia; Sciuridae
Description: tRNA.Ala
Rfam family: tRNA
About the family: Transfer RNA (tRNA) molecules are approximately 80 nucleotides in length. Their secondary structure includes four short double-helical elements and three loops (D, anti-codon, and T loops).
Source: RNAcentral
GGAUGUGGCUCAGUGGUAGAGUGCUUGCCUGGCAUGCAUGAGUUCCUGGGUUCAAUCCUCAGCACCA